GAUGAACGCUGGCGGCGUGCUUAACACAUGCAAGUCGAACGAAGCACUUAUCUUUGAUUCUUCGGAUGAAGAGGUUUGUGACUGAGUGGCGGACGGGUGAGUAACGCGUGGGUAACCUGCCUCAUACAGGGGGAUAACAGUUAGAAAUGACUGCUAAUACCGCAUAAGACCACGGAGCCGCAUUGCUCCGUGGGAAAAACUCCGUUGGUAUGAGAUGGACCCGCGUCUGAUUAGGUAGUUGGUGGGGUAACGGCCUACCAAGCCAACGAUCAGUAGCCGACCAGAGAGGGUGACAGGAGACAUUGGGACUGAGACACGGACCAAACUCCUACGGGAGGCAGCAGUGGGGAAUAUUGCAAAAUGGGGGAAACCCUGAUGAAGCGACGACGCGUGAGCGAAGAAGUAUUUCGGGAUGUAAAGCUCUAUCAGCAGGGAAGAAAAUGACGGUACCUGACUAAGAAGCACCGGCUAAAUACGUG
RNAcentral lists this ribosomal RNA (479 nucleotides) under uncultured bacterium. RNAcentral's name for it is "partial 16S ribosomal RNA". It matches the Rfam family "Bacterial small subunit ribosomal RNA", at positions 28 to 507 of the family's 1533-position model. The record is from RNAcentral.